RNAcentral lists this ribosomal RNA (424 nucleotides) under uncultured prokaryote. RNAcentral describes it as "bacterial SSU rRNA". It matches the Rfam family "Bacterial small subunit ribosomal RNA", at positions 355 to 796 of the family's 1533-position model. The record is from RNAcentral.
UGGGGCAUCUUGGACAAUGGGGGCAACCCUGAUCCAGCCAUGCCGCGUGGGUGAAGAAGGCCUUAGGGUUGUAAAGCCCUUUCAGUCGUGACGAUGAUGACGGUAGCGACAGAAGAAGCCCCGGCUAACUCCGUGCCAGCAGCCGCGGUAAUACGGAGGGGGCAAGCGUUGUUCGGAUUUACUCGGCGUAAAGGGCGCGUAGGCGGACGGUCAAGUCAGAGGUGAAAGGCCCGGGCUCAACCUGGGACGUGCCUUUGAAACUGAUUGUCUUGAGUGCGGGAGAGGGUGACGGAAUUCCCAGUGUAGAGGUGAAAUUCGUAGAGAUCGGCAGGAACACCCAGGGGGAAACCAGCAUACUGGACAGGUCCUGACACUCAGGUGCGACAGCGUGGGGAGCGAACCGGAUUAGAUACCCGUGUAGUCC